GGAACCGGGGAGAUGGCCGAGACCAAUCCUAAGAAUGUGCAGGAUCUCACCUUGGUGGUGCAUACACUCCUGCAACAGAUGCAAGAUAAAUUUCAGAUCAUGUCUGACCAGAUCAUUGGAAGAAUUGAUGAUAUGAGUAGUCACAUUGAUGAUCUGGAGAAAAACAUCACGAACCUCAUGACACAGGCUGGGGUGGAAGAACUGGAGGGUGAAAACAAGGUUCCUCCCACACAGAAGAGUUGAAGGUUGCUACUAAUUUAUACUGAAAUCUGGAACAUCAUUUUUCCAAGCCAAGAGAAGACCGAAUGGCUUUUUGCAGCUAACUACUAUGUGUAGACAGAUUUUCUAUUCUAAAGUGUGCAUUCUUUUCACAUACAAUAGUUAGUUUAUA
RNA transcript from Carlito syrichta (Philippine tarsier), 391 nucleotides. It is a transcript of the gene named heat shock factor-binding protein 1 pseudogene, with no coding region annotated. The transcript has a single exon. NCBI's taxonomy places the organism in Eukaryota, Metazoa, Chordata, Mammalia, Primates, Tarsiidae. The record is from RefSeq and is a predicted model, not a curated record.